Molecule: ribosomal RNA, 468 nt
Filed under: uncultured bacterium
Lineage: Bacteria
Description: partial 16S ribosomal RNA
Rfam family: Bacterial small subunit ribosomal RNA
Source: RNAcentral
GACGAACGCUGGCGGCGUGCUUAACACAUGCAAGUCGAACGGAAAGGCCCUGCUUUUGUGGGGUGCUCGAGUGGCGAACGGGUGAGUAACACGUGAGUAACCUGCCCUUGACUUUGGGAUAACUUCAGGAAACUGGGGCUAAUACCGGCUAGGAGCUCCUGCUGCAUGGUGGGGGUUGGAAAGUUUCGGCGGUUGGGGAUGGACUCGCGGCUUAUCAGCUUGUUGGUGGGGUAGUGGCUUACCAAGGCUUUGACGGGUAGCCGGCCUGAGAGGGUGACCGGCCACAUUGGGACUGAGAUACGGCCCAGACGCCUACGGGAGGCAGCAGUGGGGAAUAUUGCACAAUGGGCGGAAGCCUGAUGCAGCAACGCCGCGUGCGGGAUGACGGCCUUCGGGUUGUAAACCGCUUUCGCCUGUGACGAAGCGUGAGUGACGGUAAUGGGUAAAGAAGCACCGGCUAACUACGUG